GUAGGUGAACCUGCGGAAGGAUCAUUACCGAGAGACGGGGUCUAAUCGGCCCCAACUCUUCACCCGUGCCUACCUACCUAUGUUGCUUUGGCGGGCCUCUGGGCUCGUUCCGGUGGAGGCUUCUCGCUUUCUAGUGCCUGCCAAAAGCCCUUCUAAAUUCUGUUAUUGGUGUUGUCCGAGUUAUCCAUAUAAUAAUUAAAACUUUCAACAACGGAUCUCUUGGUUCUGGCAUCGAUGAAGAACGCAGCAU
RNAcentral lists this unclassified non-coding RNA (250 nucleotides) under plant metagenome. RNAcentral describes it as "partial contains small subunit ribosomal RNA, internal transcribed spacer 1, and 5.8S ribosomal RNA". The stretch from base 200 to 250 matches the Rfam family "5.8S ribosomal RNA", at positions 1 to 51 of the family's 154-position model. The record is from RNAcentral.